UGUUCCCUAGGGUGUUGGAGCUUGGUUAAGUCCCUGAGCCGAUAAAUUUUAUGUUAGGGUUUCUGUUCGUUUACUAUUGUGCAAGCUCGGCAUGUACCGAGAAGCCUACGGUAGACCGCAGAUUCCCGCCCUGAAACCUCAAGGUUUCAGGACUGACACCGGGCACCGCAUACUUGGGGAACAC
Pseudoalteromonas lipolytica SCSIO 04301 is the source of this 184-nucleotide non-coding RNA. NCBI's taxonomy places the organism in Bacteria, Pseudomonadati, Pseudomonadota, Gammaproteobacteria, Alteromonadales, Pseudoalteromonadaceae. The record is from Rfam.